Molecule: long non-coding RNA, 3104 nt
Organism: Tympanuchus pallidicinctus (lesser prairie-chicken)
Lineage: Eukaryota; Metazoa; Chordata; Aves; Galliformes; Phasianidae
Exons: 2
Source: RefSeq, a predicted model, not a curated record
UGUGCUCCUGUGGGGCUUGUUCUGUGGAAGGAGGCAAAUGCAAGGUUUGGGUUUCUUCCCAAGAAUUCGGCAGCCGCAUUGCAAAUAAGAUCACUACUUACAUUGCCCAUAUUUACAUAGUCUAAAUAUCACCGGAGAACGUCAGCUGCGAGAAUCUGCGUCACAGACAUGCCUUUAUCUUACUUUUUGCAAUGCACACGUCCAGUCACUGUGAGGUGUUCUUUGUUGCAAAUCAAGCGUCAAGCGCAAUUAAUGCUUAAGUACAAAUCUGGAAAUGUUUCCAAGAAGGAUUUCCAUCCUGGAGUUUUUAAAUUGCGUUCGCCCUGUUGUGAGCCAAAGCAAGGUUGAAAUACAGAGCGGAGGACUGAACAGGCAUUACCACAUGGUGCUGAUUGUGGUUAGCACUGCAAUAGCUUUCAUUACAUGGAUCAUUUCAGAAGACAGGUCACACAGGAUGGCAGAGAGGGACACUGAUGAGUGCAGUGUUCCUUCAAGGCUCAGAUAACAGGCUUGGAUAACUUCCUCUCUGAAAACUGAGGGAACUCGUGCUUGACAAAAUGCCCUAGCAGCCAGGGAAGCUCAGUCAAACCGCUGCAUCUGCUGUCUGGAAAACACAAGAACACGUGUGUCUUUGGCAAGCUGAAAGGUGAGUGACAAGAAUUACCAGCAAGCGUAGGAGUGUGAGAACACUCCUAAUUGUGUAGAGCAAGGAUCAAAUUUGGGAAAGACUACUUAUACAAAACAUACAGGGCUGAGAAAAAAAAAAUCUGGACGGAAAAAAAUCCUUGCAAGUGUAACAUACAGCAACACAGAUGUAUGGACAAAAAGCUGGGCAUGAGCCAGCAGUGUGCACUUGCAGCCAGAAGCCAACUGCAUCCUGGGCUGCAUCAACAGAGGGACGGCAGCAGGGAGAUGGAAGGGAUUUUUUCCCUCUGCUCUGCCCACCUGCAGCACUGUGUCCAGAUGUGGGGACCCCAGCUCAAGAAAGAUGUGGAGCUGUCUAGAGGAGGGCACAAAGACGAUCAGAGGGCUGGAGCACCUCUCCUGUGAAAGGCUGAGGGAAUUGGGCUUGUUCAGUCUGGAGAAGAGAAAGUUGCAGGGAGACCUCAUUUUGACCUUUCAGCACCUAAAGGGAGCUUAUAAACAGGAGGAAGACAGACUUUUUUACAUGGUCUGAUAGUGAUAGGACAAGGAGGAAUUGUUUUAAACUAAAAAAGGGGAUAUUUAGAUUAGAUAUUAGGGGGAAAUUACAUACUCAGAGGGUGGUGAGGCACAGGCUGCCCAAAGCAGCUGAGGAUGCCCCAUCCUUGGAGGCAUUCAAGGCCAGGCUGGAAGAGCCCUGGGCAUUCUGAGCUGUGGGCUGUAACCCUGCCUGCAGGAAGUGGUCUCUAAUGUCCCUGUCUAUCCAAGCUAUUCUGUGAUUCUAUGACUCCAGUCCAGAAAAUACUCCCUCCAUUCUGUAACCACUAGUAACAGCACCAUACACAUUGCUUUAACUUUCAUCAGAAGGCCUGGAUGGCACGCGGAACACUUCAUCUCACUUCAGCUCUUGGACUGCUGCAUUUUUAAGUUGAUAUGGACCUAUCCCCGUUCAUUAGUUCACUCUUCUGGGAACAGAUGCCUCCUGUUUAUCCAUAAGGAAAACUUCAUGCCUCUUCACCAGUCUAAAGACAUUCAUAAUGAGAAAAGAUAAAUUUCACAGAGGCCAAACCCUGAGCCACCACCUGAUCCUGCAGGUUUUCAUGAUAAUCUACAGUACCUGGACAGAAGGAGCUAGAAUGUGAAUGAUCAAUACACAACUAAAUCUCUACUACAUAACAAGUCCAAGUUGUUUCUAACUUGGGCUGAGCUUAGGUCUAUUUCUCAAUAGUAGGAAGACCAUAUUCUAUUGCAGGUACUUAAAGCUAUUGAAUCUUCUUGCUGUUAACUAGUUAAUAUACCGUAUGCAUGCAGGUUACUGGACUCCACAGCAAUGCUCAUAUUUGAAUAUUCUCUUUGAUAAUCCUCAUUCAGCUGGUAAGAUAUCUAGUUCACAGACAUUUUCUUUUAGUCUCUGGUCAUCCACUCUGGUUUUUGUAGAGGUGAAUGACAUUUUAGUAGUGGACUAAUAAAGGCUACAUCUGUAAACAGCAACUGUGGUGAUAGCAUAUUGCUAGAUACUCCCUAAAUCAAGACUGAUUUUUUUACUUUAGAAUUUUCUAAAACAACCACAUUGUGUUACUUAUUUGUGAUACUCUUACACAGUGCUUUGAGCCACUGUUUCCAUUAAUUUUCUAUGCGUCAGAUCACCCCACAUGCCACUAUAGAAGCUAUGUCCGUCAAAACAGUGAGCCUGUAUAUACUCAUUUUUUAACCUUCUCUUUGUUCAAAUGACUUAGUGUGAGUAUGAGAUGUAUUCUGUAAAUAUUCACUGCGUAAACCAGUCUAAUCCAAGACCAGAUCUGAUUUCUGCUGCAGCUAUUUUGAUCCGGCCAAUAAUUCAGCAAACAUAGCUGAGAGGCGACUGCUUUGUGUGCUAAGGCAGAAAUGUCUUUCCUCCCACCACCUCUGUGCUUUUAAUAAUUAUGAAUCAAUCCUCCAGCUGCUUAUCAGUGUUUCUUUCCACUGGACAGGAACAGUGAUAGCUCUGAACUAUGCAGCAAUGAGAAAGGUACAAAGAUUCGAGUACCAAAAGGAACAGUACUGCCAGCAGGUCCCAUUUACAUAGAUUGUUCUACUACAUAGAGGCUGCUGGAAAUCUGCCACUUCUACAGCACAGUGGGAACAAGGGGUCCUGUCAUCUGUCCCCGUGCUCAUUUUCCUUUCCUCCUAUGCCUGCUCUGUGCACAGCCAUUCCUCCCCUGCGCAGCUCAGACCAAAAUGAAAUUUUGACUGCUUCUUUCCUCCUACUGCAAUGGCUCGGUGCUCCUGCUGGACAGCUACAGAUUGCUAACUGUUCCUGGCACCGGAAGCCUCCGCAUGGACGUGAAGCCAAGAAGCCAAGAGAGAAACCAUAUUGCCAAGUCCAAGUACUCUGAAAUUGCAGCAACCUUUUCCCUACACAAAAAGUGGGUUAUUAUGUGUAUUCUGUUGCUCUGUGUUUUCAGUAAACACAUUUCAAACUC